GACGAACGCUGGCGGCGUGCCUAAUACAUGCAAGUCGAACGCUUCUUUCCUCCCGAGUGCUUGCACUCAAUUGGAAAGAGGAGUGGCGGACGGGUGAGUAACACGUGGGUAACCUACCCAUCAGAGGGGGAUAACACUUGGAAACAGGUGCUAAUACCUCAUAACAGUUUAUGCCGCAUGGCAUAAGAGUGAAAGGCGCUUUCGGGUGUCGCUGAUGGAUGGACCCGCGGUGCAUUAGCUAGUUGGUGAGGUAACGGCUCACCAAGGCCACGAUGCAUAGCCGACCUGAGAGGGUGAUCGGCCACACUGGAACUGAGACACGGCCCAGACUCCUACGGGAGGCAGCAGUAGGGAAUCGUCGGCAAUGGACGAAAGUCUGACCGAGCAACGCCGCGUGAGUGAAGAAGGUUUUCGGAUCGUAAAACUCUGUUGUUAGAGAAGAACAAGGACGUUAGUAACUGAACGUCCCCUGACGGUAUCUAACCAGAAAGCCACGGCUAACUACGUG
This 508-nucleotide ribosomal RNA is filed under the name uncultured bacterium. Its description in RNAcentral is "partial 16S ribosomal RNA". It matches the Rfam family "Bacterial small subunit ribosomal RNA", at positions 28 to 507 of the family's 1533-position model. The record is from RNAcentral.